UAACGACUCUCGGCAACGGAUAUCUCGGCUCUCGCAUCGAUGAAGAACGUAGCGAAAUGCGAUACUUGGUGUGAAUUGCAGAAUCCCGUGAACCAUCGAGUCUUUGAACGCAAGUUGCGCCCUAAGCCGUUAGGCCGAGGGCACGUCUGCCUGGGUGUCACG
Molecule: ribosomal RNA, 162 nt
Filed under: Diplolaena microcephala
Lineage: Eukaryota; Viridiplantae; Streptophyta; Magnoliopsida; Sapindales; Rutaceae
Description: 5.8S ribosomal RNA
Rfam family: 5.8S ribosomal RNA
About the family: 5.8S ribosomal RNA (5.8S rRNA) is a component of the large subunit of the eukaryotic ribosome. It is transcribed by RNA polymerase I as part of the 45S precursor that also contains 18S and 28S rRNA. Functionally, it is thought that 5.8S rRNA may be involved in ribosome translocation.
Source: RNAcentral